UUCUGCAGCACAGCUCCCUUCCCAGGACGUGAGAGUCUGCCUUCUCACCAUGAGGCUUCUAAUCCUUUCCAGCCUGCUUUGCAUCCUGCUUCUCUGCUUCUCCGUCUUCUCCACAGAAGGAAAGAGGCGUCAUGCCAAGCCCUGGCCAGGCAAGAGAGCCAGGCUCUGCUGCCACAGAGUCCCUAGCCCCAACUUGACAAACCCGAAAGGACAUCAUGUGAGACUCUGCAAACCAUGCAAGCUUGAGCCAGAGCCCCUCCCUUGGGUGGUGCCUGGGGCACUCCCACAGGUGUAGCACUCCCAAAGCAAGACUCCAGACAGCGGAGACCCUCACACCUGGCACCUGAGGUACCCAGCAGCCUCCUGUCUCCCCUUUCAGCCUUCACAACAGUGAGCUACAAUGUUGGAGGGCUUCAUCUUGGGCUGCAAGGACCCUGGGAAAGUUCAAGAACUGCAUGUCCUUGUCUCAAUUGUGCCAUCAACUUUCAGAGCUAUCAUGAGCCAACCUCAGCCACAGGGCCUCAGUCGCCACCACGUGGGUCUGUCCAGUGCAAACAGCCGAGCAUUCCACCAUGACUGGUCACAGCUACACAUCCAGAGACCAUCAAUCCUGCUAGGGUGCAGGGUAGCAAGCACCCAAGGGUGGCUGACUAAGACUGCAGAGUCUCCUCCAUCUUCAGGUCCAUUCAGCCUCCUGGCAUUUAACCACCAGCAUCCAGUGACCCCCCAAGGAAUCCCCUCCUAGCCUCCUGACAUGAGUCUGCUGGAAAGAACACCCAAACAAACAAGUAAUAAAUAAAUCAAUCAACUCAAUGCAGACACAUCCUUGUUUGACAAGGUCAGUGAUAGAGCCUGAGGCACAACUUUCUGCUAGAACAAACCUGUCCCUAAAGCCUUCCCUGCAGGCCACUCUUGGCCACAACACAAUGUAACUAUGUGAGGAACAGGGACAGAGUCCCUGGGUCUGGCACAUCAGGGCUUGAAGCCCUGCCCUGCUAAGGGUGUUUUGUGUGAGCUGAGCAUGUUGGGUCUUUUCUAGAAAACUGAGAUUACAGGACCUACUCAGAGGGCAAAUAGCCAGGUGUGAAGUGCCCGCAAAGGGCCUGGCACACCGAGGGACUUGGUUCAGGGAAAUCCUUGCCUCUCCUUCCCCAUCCUGGGGGAGGGUGUUUAUGCCCACGGUGAACACAGCGCUGCAGGGCUGAGGCUCAGAGAGCACAGAUGGCUCAGGUCUGAGCAGCUUAUCUCUCAACAAAGCUCCCUUCUAAUCCGAUUCUCACAGCAAGGUUGGAAGCCCCAUCGCUGCACCCUCCACAGCCGCGUAGGAGAACGCCAGGCCCCCUCUGGGCUGAUGGGCAGAGGUUCCCUGGCCCAGGGCUCUGGGGACAGUGGUACCCAGGGCAAGUCAGAGUCUGUCUUGUCACAGGCCAGACUUUUCACAUCCCUUCCGUAUGUUCCACUCUCAGGCUCACUCAUUCACUCACUCGUUCCCAGGCUCUGCAGUGCUGUGUUCACCACGGGCAUAAACACCCCUUCAGGUGGAGCAGGGGAGGCGGGGACUUCCCUGAACCCAGCCCCUCUGUGCUCCAGGCCCUUUGCUGCACUUCACACCUGCCUACUUGCCCUCUGAGCAGGUCCUCUAAUCUCCAUGUUCAUCUAUCCCGGGGUAGUAAUUGUCAGGCCCUGAGCUGGGUUCUGAGGCUCGGAGAUGAACGAAUAUGGUCCCUGAUGUCUGAGAGGCAAUCAUUUGUUCCACAAAGUUGUGGGCACCCAGGUAAGAACAGAGGGCUGGGACUGUAGGAGAAGGAGUGGAAGAUGAGAGGGAAUGCAAAGACUGCUCAAACUUAGCAGAGGCCAGCCAGAGAAGGGGCGCAGGGUGUGUGUGUGUGUGUGUGUGUGUGUGUGUGGUGUGCAGAGGGGUGUGGAGGACGUGGGAGGUGUAGGGGGGUUUGUGUGGUGUAUGUGGUGAAUGGUGUGUGUGUAUGGUGUGCAAUGUGUGUGCGUGAUGUGUAUGUGAGGGUAUAGGAUGUGUAUAUGUGAUGUGUGUGUCAUGUGUGCUGUGUGUGUGACAGUAUGGACUUUGUGGUGUGUGUGCAAUAUGUAUGUCUCUAGCGUGUGUGUAGUUUAUACAGUGUGUGUGAUGUGUGUUGUGGAUGUGUGGUAGAUGGUGGAUGUGUGGUUUGCAGUAUGUAUGGUAUGUGUGCAUGUGGCAUGUGUAAUGUGUGGUGUGUGGUGUAUGUGUGUAAUAUGUUGUGUGUUGUGUGUGGUGUGUGUGAUAUGUGGUGUAUGGUUGUAUGUGUGGUGUGUAUUUGUGAUGUGUAUGAUGUGUGGUGUGUGUGAUGCAUUUGUAUGGUGUGUGGUUUGUGUGUGGGUUAUUUGUGUGUGUAUGGUGUGUGGUGUUUGUGUGAUGCAUGUGUGUGUUGGGGCAUGUGGUUUGUGUGUGUGUGUGGUGUAUGUGUGCUGUAUGGUGGAUGUGUGGUUUGUGGAUAUCGUUUGUGGUAUGUAUGGUGUGUGUGUGGCAUGUGUGAUGUGUGGUGUGUGUGGUGUAUGUGUGUAAUGUGUGUGGUGUGUUGUGUGCGUUGUGUGUGAUGCAGUGUGUGAAUGUGGUGUGUGGUUGUGUGUGUGAUGCAUUUGUGUGGUGUGUUUGUGUCUGUGGUGUCUGUGUGAUUGUGUGUGUGUGUGUGUUGGAGUGUGUGGUGAGGGGUGUGUGUGUGUGGUGUGUGUGUAUGUGUGUGCUGGGGUGAAGUAAGGAUGUAGCAAGGGCCAGGCAGGAAGCAUGAGUGUUGAAGGAGAAGUCAGCAACUGGACAGCAGCAUCAGGACAAAAGGGAAGCAGAGGGUUCAGCCGGGACCUAGGGAAGGGCCUGGAAAGUUCUCAGUGUUUGGGGUUUAUCUUAAGAGCAAUGAAAAACCAGAGAUUCAGUAAGCAGGAGAGAAUGCCAUGAGAGAGGGCCAUUAAGAGACAGAAGGAAGGGAGCUGAGGCAGGAGUGGCAAGUGUGGCACCAAGGGCCAAGGCUAGGGUGUUCAGAACAGCAGUGGAGAGGCUUUGGAGACGUGUUAGCUGCGGGGCUAACAGGUCCACACUGGGAACUCCGUGCUGUGUCAGACCCUCACCAGGAGCUCCUUUGGCAAGGUGGAUCACCUAGCAGCAAUGCAAGAGCUGGCCAUUUCUGUGUCCUUCUCUCCCUUCUCUCUUCUCCACCCCAAGCCCAAAAAGUAAAGAAAAAACCUACAGACAAAAAAAUUAAACAUGUGUGCUGGAGAGUCAACCAAAAGGAAGACUCAAAGGCUGUGUUCCCCACUGAUGAGCUGACCUCCUUCUGGGAACCAUGGAGAGGAAGGGGAGCAAGAGUUCUAGAAGCCUCAGCCUCUGUGAGGGGUGCAGGUGAGGAAGACCAGAUAUUUAAUACACGCGAAUAAAAGGAAGACACAGCCUGGCCUGUGGGAAAGAAGGAGCACCUUCUCUGAGGGCCAGGAUUGCAGGGUCACGGCUGUGAGCCACUCACAGUGAAAUGGUGCUGCAAAGAGGCUGGCCUUGGGCCAUAUGAGCUGUAUGAGCAGCGACUCCAAGACCCCAAGAGGCCCUCAAGGGACACCAGCCCCUCAAAACAGCCUAGGUCAAAGGUGAGAACAUAAAAGGAGCAGAGGACCCUGCACCUGCUCCACCCCAGCCUGUCCUAUCUGCCCUUCUGAGGAGGGACGGAAAGCCUGUGAUGGGUUCCCAGGCCAACAGAGAUGCUCAUGCAGAGCUAGAGGGCCGUGGCUCCUUGGGAGCAGGUGCUGCUUCCCUCAGAAAUGCCAAAAACUUUCCUUCCCACUCUCACUGACCACCUUCAAAAUUUGCAACAUGCAGCCAGGCGCGGUGGCUCACGCCUGUAAUCCCAGCACUUUGGGAGGCCGAGGUGGGCAGAUCAUGAGGUCAGGAGAUAAAGACCAUCCUGGCUAACACGGUGAAACCCUGUCUCUACUUAAAAUACAAAAAAUUAGCCGGGCGUGGUGGCAGGUGCCUGUAGUCCCAGCUACUCAGGGGGAGGCUGAGGCAAGAGAAUGGCAGGAACCUGGGAGGCGGAGCUUGCAGUGAGCCGAGAUCACACCACUGCACUCCCUUCUGGGUGACAAAGCGAGACUCCGGCUCAAAAAAAAAAAAAAA
Molecule: long non-coding RNA, 4150 nt
Organism: Macaca mulatta (Rhesus monkey)
Lineage: Eukaryota; Metazoa; Chordata; Mammalia; Primates; Cercopithecidae
Source: Ensembl